This 122-nucleotide ribosomal RNA is filed under the name Danio rerio (zebrafish). Lineage: Eukaryota; Metazoa; Chordata; Actinopteri; Cypriniformes; Danionidae. The record is from RNAcentral.
UUAAAUAGCUAUAGCAGCUAGCUCUUUGCCACUGUCACAUGGUCACCCACUGAAGCUAAGCAGGCUGCACCUGGCCAGUACCUGAUGGGAGACCACAUGGAAAAGCUAAGUUGCUGUUGGAA